RNAcentral lists this ribosomal RNA (414 nucleotides) under Mawia benovici. RNAcentral describes it as "partial 12S ribosomal RNA". Lineage: Eukaryota; Metazoa; Cnidaria; Scyphozoa; Semaeostomeae; Pelagiidae. The record is from RNAcentral.
AUGUGUACUAACGUUUGAACCAAUUCAUCAUAAUUCUCUUUUUAUGAUUACUAUUAAAUUCAACUUACUAAAAAUUUUUAAGUUUUUACCCGCAAUUUUUUUGAUUUGUUAAAAUUAAUGUAUUGCAUAAACUCCUUGAUAUUAGGACCAUAAUACCUGACUUAAUUUUUUGUAAAGUUAAGUUUGUUAAUUUUACACACAAACUGAAGACGGCCAUGCAGUACCUGCAAAUCUAAUCAAGGUAAGGUAAUUCGCGGAUUAUCGAUUUAAGUUACACAAUCCUCUAAUAGGAAAACGAACAGCCAGAUUUUUUGAAUUUCAAUCAGUUGAUUAUACUACUCAGGCGGAUCAAUCUUUAAAAAAGAUAUUCUUUAUUUAAGCAGUAGGCUACUAGGGUAUCUAUCCCCGUUUUAA